RNAcentral lists this unclassified non-coding RNA (252 nucleotides) under Bombus terrestris (buff-tailed bumblebee). Its description in RNAcentral is "misc RNA ENSBTSG00005032869.1". The record is from RNAcentral. Lineage: Eukaryota; Metazoa; Arthropoda; Insecta; Hymenoptera; Apidae.
UGUUUCCUUUCUCCUUUUGGCUGCGAAGAAACAUAAACUCAGCUUGUUACGUACGAACUAAUUUUCUUACAUUUUCGCUCAAUAUUUCGUGAAUUUUCCUCUAUUUCUGACUGUUUCAAUUAAUCCACUGACUCGUUUAAAGUUUCGUUUUUAACAUCCUCCCACGCGGAUUUUAUUCUUCUCCUGGAAAUCAGAUUUUUACACUGGAAAAUUUACUUUGUACUUGAAAAAUCACCUUUCUGUCUUCUAUCU